UACGAAGGGUGCAAGCGUUACUCGGAAUUACUGGGCGUAAAGCGUGCGUAGGUGGUGGUUUAAGUCCGUUGUGAAAGCCCUGGGCUCAACCUGGGAAUUGCAGUGGAUACUGGGUCACUAGAGUGUGGUAGAGGGUAGCGGAAUUCCCGGUGUAGCAGUGAAAUGCGUAGAGAUCGGGAGGAACAUCUGUGGCGAAGGCGGCUACCUGGACCAACACUGACACUGAGGCACGAAAGCAUGGGGAGCAAACAGG
RNAcentral lists this ribosomal RNA (253 nucleotides) under uncultured bacterium. RNAcentral's name for it is "partial 16S ribosomal RNA". It matches the Rfam family "Bacterial small subunit ribosomal RNA", at positions 524 to 776 of the family's 1533-position model. The record is from RNAcentral.